AUAAUGUUCCAGAAUAUUCACAGGUGAAUAAAGAUUACUCUGUUGUCCCAUUUGAAUGCAAUGCCACUGCUGGGAGUGCCAGAAAGUUUGAUUACCUGGUCACCUUUGUUGCAAGAAUGGAACUUUGGGUGAUCUUCAUAAUGUUGAUAGAAGCUGGUUCAAUAAAGUAUUUCAAAGCUAGAAUGCUCCUCAGAGCACUGAAACUUUUGGUCAUAGAAGGAGACAUCUGCAAGUAAAUGACUUUAUGGUAAGCAUCAUAUUUUGAAGAGCUCCCUAACUGACCGUGAUAUAAUAAUGACACCUACAAACACUUAGCUUUGGGGAGGCUCUGAUGGAACUCACAGAUCUGUAUGGUCAGAAAAAGGUCUCCUGGUGCCCACGUGAGUGAAAGGGCAGCAUGCAAUAAUGCAUGAUGGUAGAAAGAGCACUGGCCAGGAACCCAAUGACCUGGCCAGCUGCGUGCUUACUGCCUUUGUGAUCUCAGACAUUCUCUGACCCCUUAGAGUUCAGUCUCAUCAGUAAAUGAAGAUGGAUGCUGGCAUCUGCUGUGUACCCUACUGUGCUGUGAACAUUUGAGAAAGCUUCACGAAUCCUUGACUAAACAACCAGUGUCUUACUGUUCUUGUCAAAAGGUAAUGAGAGUUAGAAUCAAAUUGUCUUUUAUUAAGGAAAUAUGUUUAUAACCAAAUUACUUCCUGAGAACUUCAUGUUUCCUGGCAUGGUCUUUCAUUUCUUUCCUAAUAUAAAAUUUGUCAGGAAACCUAUGUUCCACUGAGUAGAAAAUUACAUAGCCAGUAAAUAUAUUUUCAAAUGUCUUAUUUUAUGGCCAUGUCCUUUGGUCAUCUAGAUGUGGGUUUUUUUGGAGGGAGUCUUAGCCAGAGAUCUUUUUAGUACAGGGGACAGAAACCCAUCCAAGUUAGUUCAGAUAAGAGAGACCUUGUCACAAAAAGAAAAAAUCAGCAGGCCAUCUCACAUGCAUCCCCAUCAACGUAGUGCCAUUCCUCAUGCAACUGGGUUUGGGAGACCUUCAAAAUCAAAGUGGUGCCUUUUCUGUUUUUUGAUGGCUUCAUGCUUAUUUUUCUCUUAUAUAAACUAUAAACACACACACCACAAAACUGGCCCAGUCAAUACUCCCAAGUCUAGAUGACCUUAUUGGUCCAAUACCCAUGUACAUGCGUCUCUUAAUCUCUUUCCUUCUUCCUUCUUCUUCUUGUCUGGACUGUGGAUGCAAUCCUAUUCUCUCCACAUCAGCUUCCUUUUUAGGCUCAGAGUGGCAUGUCACCAAAGCUAUAGAAUGACAAGCAAAUUUGGAAAUGUACUUUUACAGAACCACGUUGGGGUGAGUUACUUAACCUCCUUGUGUCUCAGUUUCCUCAUCUCUAAAAUGAGGGUAAUACUAUUCCCAAUCAUAGUGCCUGGUCCAUCAUGCUCAACAUUAGCCAUUAUCCUUAUUAAAUUUAUGGCGAGGUUAAUUUAUGAAAACGACCAAAAGCAGGCAUAGGACGUAUAAUCCAAACACUGUAUCAAGUUCUAAAAUAAGAUGAAGUAAACACUGCAUUGAGUUUGUCAGGUAAGUUUCCAGAGAAGAUGACUUGGCCUAGGUCUUGAAGGAAGCGAUUGAAAUGACUUGGUGAAGAGAGAUGUUUUGGUUUUCAAUGACUAUGUGACAAACUAUCCCAAAACUUAGUGGUUUAAAACAACGAUUAUUUAUUUACUCACAAUUCUGCAAUUUGGGCAGGCCUUGUCUGAAAUGGCCCAUCUCUGUUCCACAUGGCAUCUACUGGCUGAACCAUCCAAGAUGGCCUCCUUACUUAUAUGCCUGGCACAUCAAGUGGGGCUAGCCAGACAUCCUCUUUCCAUGUGGCCUCUCCAUGCGGCUGGCCUGGGCUUCCUAUCACCAUGAUGGUCUCAAAGUGGUCAGACUUCUUACAAUGUGGUCGACUUCCCCAUAAUGCAAAAGCAGAAGCUUCCAGACCUUCUGAGUGCCUGAGCUCGGAAGUCCCAGAACGUCAUUUCCACCACAUUUGAUCCAUCAAAGCAGUCACAGGGCCAGCCCAGCUUCAAGGGGAGGGGACUGCACAAGCCCAUGAACAUCAGGAGGCGUGGUUCACUGGAGCCACAGAGGAAAGAGACUGUGACAAGAGGUUAACACAGAAGCUUAGGCGCAGGGAACAGUAAAUGCAAAAAACCCAAACCCCAGGAUAGGCCAUGAUGAGCAUUUGAGAAUUACGAAGGAGACUGGCUGGCUAUUGUUUUGAAAGACAGGAAUAGAAUCUGAGGGUUUAUUUGGAUCUAAAAUAGUUCAGUUGUAUCCCCUAUACUGAGCCAAAGGUCCAAACUAGGAAGUAAGAGAACCCCCCACCCCCCAAGUGUCCUUGUUCCUGGAAGCCAUGAAAUCCACUGAACAUGUGUCAAGCUGUUAAACUGGCAGACACGCCGGCAGAGCCCAACAGUGGGGAAGGCUCUGGGUCGGGCCCCUGGUAAGAAGUUCCCUCCCAGGGUCACUCUUCAUCACUCACUGUCAGCAUUUUUCCCUCUCAAUUUUUCCCUCUAUUUCUGGGUUUCCUGAAGCAGUAAAACCACUAAUUUUCUGUGGGCUGAUUAUUUUCCAUGUGAGUAGAUCUGGAAAUUUUCCUAAAGAAUCAGCUUUUGGUUGGGUUGAUGCUGAGUCUGUUUGGGGAGCUGCUUUCUGCCGCCAUGGUUCGGGGUGGGUUUGAUAGAGGGAGCGUCUGCUCUUGGUACAAGGCGGGUGCAAGGGCGCUCACCGUGGUUGCCUCACUGGGGCUUGCAUCGCAUGCACCAGUGUUUCUCUCUCCUGUCCCAGAAACAGAGACCUCAGGCGUUCCUUCUAAAGUUACCUCUCUGCCUUAGAAGGUUGGCGGAGCCCCUCAAACCACAGAGAAGGUGCCAGCAUUCGUGCUGAUCAGGAGAAGACCAAGCUCCCAUGUGAAAGAUGCCCUCCCUAAACCAGGAGGAAAGAAACAUUCUUAUCACCAGAGAUGGAGAACAGAGGCUGAGAGAAAUCUGUACAAACAGAUCUUGUGAAAAUAACCCUUAUCUUCUUUAGUCUCCCUAUCAUUAUGGUUAUUUUUCCACAAUUACAACUUUUGUUCAACCUAGUAUAUAAGUUAGGCAUUUAAGCCUGACCGCUUUUAGGGUCUUCAUUUUCCUGUGAGGGCUCCCAUAUGCAUGUAAAAAUAUCAAAUAAAAUUUGUAUGUUUUUCUCCUGUUAAUCUGUCUUAUAUCAACUUAAUUCUCAGGCAGUGAGAUAAUGGAAAAUAUAUAUUGGUCUCUGGUUCCUGGCACAGAGCACGUAAACCCCUUGUAAUUGCCUAAGUGAUAAGAACACUAGAAGCAUCUCUUGUUCUAACGUUGGUCUUUGACCUCAGUUCCUGACACAGGGCUCCUGAAACCCUUGUAACUUCCUGGGUAAAAGGAGUGUCUUGUUUUAAUGAGGUGACUCUGGACUCCUCAAUGAGAGCUGGUUACCAGAAGGACCAAGUCAUGAUUAGAAGCUUGGAAUUUUCAGCCCCACCUCCCAUUCUCUUGAGAAGGGAGAUGGGGCUGAAAAUGCAGUUGAUGUUCAAUCAUGCCUAUGUGACAAAGCCUCCGUAAAAUCCCAAAAGUAUAGGGUUUGGAGAGCUUCCAGGUUGGUGAACACAUGGAGGUGCUGGGAGAGUCACGUGCCUGGAGAGGGCACGGAAGGUCCACGUCCCUUCCCAUAUACCUUGCCCUACGCAUCUCUCCCCUCUGGAUGUUCAUCUGUAUCCUUUAUCAUAGCCUUGUAUAAUGAACUGGAAAUGUAAGUGAGCUGUUUCCCUGAGUUCUGUGAGCCGCUCUAGCAAAUUAAUCAAACCCAAGGACUGAGUUGUUGGAACUUCCAAUCUAUAGCCGGUUGGUCAGAAGCACAGGUGACAAUCUGGGCUUGUGACUGGCAUCUGAGGGGUGUGUGUGUGUGUGUGUGUGCAGGGGGCAGUCUUGUGGGGACUGAGACUUUACACUGUGAAUCUGACGCUAUCUCUGGCUUGAGUCAGAAUUGAAUCAAAUUGUGGGACGCCCAGCUGGUGUCGCAGAAACUUGCUCAUUGUUGUGAUGACAAACCUCCACACGUUUGGUGAGCAGAAGUGUUCUCUGUGAAGGUAAAGGAGACACACAGGGAAGAAACUUAUAGUAGGGAAGAACUGGAUUUUUCCCUUCAUAGGAAGGAAAAAACUGAGUUUUUCCAUUUAAUCAGGCCCAGCCGGAGACUGUAACAGGGUAGAGGGAAAGUCUUGCCUUCCCCAGAGAAGCUUGUUAACUACUUGGUGUUGGUUGAAAAACAACAUCCUCUCUCCCCCUCACCCACGCUUUCUGCCAGUUCCUGGGAUUGUUGAAAUGGGAAGGAGUUGUAAAGAGGUGAGGGGGUUAUUCAGGGGUUCCUAGAAGGAAUGUUGUGAGUAUGAAUGCCAUUCCAGGGGUCCUUGGCCCUAUCUCUGCUUUGCCUCUGUCUCUCUCGAGAUCGUUUGUUCCUUGUUCUGUUUUUCAGAAGUGAAAGAAAUUAGAUUUCAGAAUCACUUGACAGGAGGAGAGGAGGUGCAAGAAAACAC
Long non-coding RNA from Equus caballus (horse), 4586 nucleotides. NCBI's taxonomy places the organism in Eukaryota, Metazoa, Chordata, Mammalia, Perissodactyla, Equidae. The record is from Ensembl.